UCUUGGACAAUGGGGGCAACCCUGAUCCAGCGAUGCCGCGUGAGUGAAGAAGGCCUUCGGGUCGUAAAGCUCUUUAGGUUGGGAAGAAGUUUGGUAGAGGCAAUGCUACUGAAUUGACGGUACCGACAGAAUAAGCACCGGCAAACUCUGUGCCAGCAGCCGCGGUAAUACAGAGGGUGCGAGCGUUAAUCGGAGUUACUGGGCGUAAAGGGCGCGUAGGCGGUGAUAUGAGUGUGAUGUGAAAGCCCCGGGCUUAACCUGGGAAGUGCAUCGCAAACGAUAUUACUGGAGUAUAUGAGAGGGUGGCGGAAUUUCCGGUGUAGCGGUGAAAUGCGUAGAGAUCGGAAGGAACGUCAAUGGCGAAGGCAGCCACCUGGCAUAAUACUGACGCUGAGGCGCGAAAGCGUGGGGAGCGAACAG
RNAcentral lists this ribosomal RNA (420 nucleotides) under uncultured bacterium. RNAcentral describes it as "bacterial SSU rRNA". It matches the Rfam family "Bacterial small subunit ribosomal RNA", at positions 362 to 775 of the family's 1533-position model. The record is from RNAcentral.